Molecule: microRNA precursor, 133 nt
Filed under: Manihot esculenta (cassava)
Lineage: Eukaryota; Viridiplantae; Streptophyta; Magnoliopsida; Malpighiales; Euphorbiaceae
Description: miR535c stem-loop (mes-MIR535c)
Gene: mes-MIR535c
Rfam family: MIR535 microRNA precursor family (bases 18-112)
Source: miRBase by way of RNAcentral
AUUGCCUUAGCUUUGACAUAAUUGGUUGACGACGAGAGAGAGCACACUUGUUAGCAUUCAUGCUGUGGUCAUGGGCGUCUAUAAGUGUGCUCUCUGCCGUCGUCAUACAAUAUGGUCAAAGAAGGUUUAUCUU